AUAAUGCGAUCGAAGGAUCGGUCGAUCGUGCAAAAAACGUGGGCGAUUAGAAGCGGUCGCUUUGCAAAGAGAGCCUGUAUUUGUCCUACGAGCUAAAGAGGGUGGGUGUUGGCUCGUCGUGGAUGACGCCACAAGAGUUACAAGGAAGGUGAACCGAUAGUGAGGAGAAUCGGAGGAUAAGGACUUUCAUCCUCGGAAACUAGCGCGGGUGUUGCGAAAGAAAGUCAGAUCGAAGCUGGCUCGCGCUCUAAUCCCAAGUCAGGAACUCGGAGACUUACUUAACAUUGGCGGGGAGAAACGAAGAGGGCGGGCGACGUGAGUACGGUGAACCCCGGAAGCGAAACGCAACGGUGGCCGGCUCGGUCGAGGGGGAGUUUGCAACAGCAGCACGGCGGUGCCAGGCCCGCGCAUGCUUCAACAACGAGGUUGUUCAGCACCCGCGCCCGCUGCGACGACCAGCUCGUCAUCGUCAUCGUCAUCGUCAUCCUCAUCGUCAUUCACCGCCACCACCAUGUUCCCGCAACAGUACUGCCUGAGAUGGAAGUACCAUCACAGCAAUCUGCAGACCAUGUUCUCACAGCUGCUCGAGCGACAGGCCUACUGCGACGUCACGCUCGCCUGCGAGGGCAAGACGCUGCGGGCGCA
Molecule: non-coding RNA, 645 nt
Organism: Nylanderia fulva
Lineage: Eukaryota; Metazoa; Arthropoda; Insecta; Hymenoptera; Formicidae
Source: RefSeq, a predicted model, not a curated record